This 371-nucleotide ribosomal RNA is filed under the name Plicopurpura columellaris. RNAcentral's name for it is "partial 12S ribosomal RNA". The record is from RNAcentral. Lineage: Eukaryota; Metazoa; Mollusca; Gastropoda; Neogastropoda; Muricidae.
UUAGAAGUAAAUAAACAAAUAGUUUGCCAGAGUACUAUGAACUAUUAAAUUUAAAACUCAAAGGGCUUGGCGGUGUUUUAGACUUUUUAGGGGAACCUGUCUCAUAAUCGAUAAUCCACGAUAUACCUGACUUUUAUUUGCCUUCAGUUUGUAUACCGUCGUCGUCAGGUAACUUUUUAGAAAAAAGAAGUUAGCAAUAAAGCAUUAUUAAUCUUUUACGUCAGAUCAAGGUGCAGCUAAUAUAAAAGUGAGGAUGGGUUACAAUUAUUAUAAUUAUAAAUACGAAAAUAAUAACUUGAAAAGUAAUAUGAAGGAGGACUUAAAAGUAAAAUGAACUAUAAAAACAUUUUGAAUACAGCUCUGAAACGUGC